Molecule: ribosomal RNA, 254 nt
Filed under: uncultured bacterium
Lineage: Bacteria
Description: partial 16S ribosomal RNA
Rfam family: Bacterial small subunit ribosomal RNA
Source: RNAcentral
UACGUAGGGUCCGAGCGUUGUCCGGAAUUACUGGGCGUAAAGAGCUCGUAGGUGGUUUGUCGCGUUGUUCGUGAAAACUCACAGCUUAACUGUGGGCGUGCGGGCGAUACGGGCAGACUUGAGUACUGCAGGGGAGACUGGAAUUCCUGGUGUAGCGGUGGAAUGCGCAGAUAUCAGGAGGAACACCGGUGGCGAAGGCGGGUCUCUGGGCCACUACUGACGCUGAGAAGCGAAAGCAUGGGGGAGCGAACAGG